Molecule: ribosomal RNA, 253 nt
Filed under: uncultured bacterium
Lineage: Bacteria
Description: partial 16S ribosomal RNA
Rfam family: Bacterial small subunit ribosomal RNA
Source: RNAcentral
UACGUAGGUGGCAAGCGUUGUCCGGAUUUACUGGGUUUAAAGGGUGCGUAGGCGGUUUAAUAAGUCAGUCGUUAAAGACACAAGCUCAACUUGGGCGUGGCGAUUGAUACUGUUAGACUUGAAUAAUUUGGAGGUAGCUGGAAUGCGUAGUGUAGCGGUGAAAUGCUCAGAUAUUACGCAGAACACCGAUUGCGGAGGCAGGUUACUACGAAUUUAUUGACGCUGAGGCACGAAAGUGUGGGUAGCAAACAGG